GACGAACGCUGGCGGCGUGCUUAACACAUGCAAGUCGAACGGAAAGGCCCUGCUUUUGUGGGGUGCUCGAGUGGCGAACGGGUGAGUAACACGUGAGUAACCUGCCCUUGACUUUGGGAUAACUUCAGGAAACUGGGGCUAAUACCGGAUAGGAGCUCCUGCUGCAUGGUGGGGGUUGGAAAGUUUCGGCGGUUGGGGAUGGGCUCGCGGCUUAUCAGCUUGUUGGUGGGGUAGUGGCUUACCAAGGCUUUGACGGGUAGCCGGCCUGAGAGGGUGACCGGCCACAUUGGGACUGAGCUACGGCCCAGACUCCUACGGGAGGCAGCAGUGGGGAAUAUUGCACAAUGGGCGGAAGCCUGAUGCAGCAACGCCGCGUGCGGGAUGACGGCCUUCGGGUUGUAAACCGCUUUCGCCUGUGACGAAGCGUGAGUGACGGUAAUGGGUAAAGAAGCACCGGCUAACUACGUG
RNAcentral lists this ribosomal RNA (468 nucleotides) under uncultured bacterium. Its description in RNAcentral is "partial 16S ribosomal RNA". It matches the Rfam family "Bacterial small subunit ribosomal RNA", at positions 28 to 507 of the family's 1533-position model. The record is from RNAcentral.